This 279-nucleotide unclassified non-coding RNA is filed under the name plant metagenome. RNAcentral describes it as "partial contains small subunit ribosomal RNA, internal transcribed spacer 1, and 5.8S ribosomal RNA". The record is from RNAcentral.
UUUCCGUAGGUGAACCUGCGGAAGGAUCAUUAUUGUAUAACCGAGGUGCGAGGGCUGUCGCUGACUCGAAAGGUCGUGCACGCCCGAGUGCCCUCACACACAUCCAUCUCACCCCUAUGUGCACCACCGCGUGGGUCCCCCUUUGGCUUGUUCGGAGGGGGGCUUACGUUUUCACACAAACUUUGUAUGCAGUGUAGAAUGUAUUUUUUGUUUUUGCGAUCACGCAAUCAAUACAACUUUCAACAACGGAUCUCUUGGCUCUCGCAUCGAUGAAGCAGC